UGUUCCAUGUGGUGUGUGUGUGUUCCAUGUGGUGUGUGUGUGUGUUCCAUGUGGUGUGUGUGUGUUCCAUGUGGUGUGUGUGUGUUCCAUGUGGUGUGUGUGUGUGUUCCAUGUGGUGUGUGUGUGUGUUCCAUGUGGUGUGUGUGUGUGUGUUCCAUGUGGUGUGUGUGUUCCAUGUGGUGUGUGUGUUCCAUGUGGUGUGUGUGUGUGUUCCAUGUGGUGUGUGUGUUCCAUGUGGUGUGUGUGUUCCAUGUGGUGUGUGUGUUCUGUGGUGUGUGUGGGGUGUCUGGCCGCCCAGUGGACGUGAAUGACAAUUAGAUUAAAGUAUUGAUCCAGUCUGGAGCAGGUAUGUGUGGCCAGUAACAAUGCACGAGCGGCAGCCAUGUGUUGAGCCCUGGUUGUCAAGACGCCAGCUGUUUCUUGCAGUGAGUCCAUCUAAGCUACAAUCACUUGAUGUGACAAAGGGGAUCAUCCUGUAGAGAGCGCUGGACUUCGUUGGCGUUUUUCAAGUCUUGGGGAACAUUCAACGCUGUCGGUGAGUUUGUGAGCCAGAGAAACCACCGAGUGCUGAGUGUACCCUUACGCUUGAGCUCAUACGGGUCUGAAGUUCUCCUUCCCAUGUGUGCUUGACAUUACACACACAUUAAAUCACAGGCGUAAAUAAUAAUGCACACCCACUACAAGUCCAUUUUAUGCCUGUUCUGCUACGACAAAUUCUGUAAAAAAGCUGUUAAUAUAGAAUAAUAUAUUAAAUUAGAUUAAACUGGA
Molecule: long non-coding RNA, 768 nt
Organism: Gasterosteus aculeatus aculeatus (three-spined stickleback)
Lineage: Eukaryota; Metazoa; Chordata; Actinopteri; Perciformes; Gasterosteidae
Source: Ensembl